UACGGAGGGUGCGAGCGUUGUCCGGAAUCACUGGGCGUAAAGGCGCGUAGGUGGCCUGUGGAAGUCUGCGGUGAAAGCCCGGCGCUCAACGCCGGGUCGGCCGUGGAUACUCUCGGGCUCGAGCUUACUAGAGGCAAGCGGAAUUCCGGGUGUAGCGGUGGAAUGCGUAGAGAUCCGGAAGAACACCGGAGGCGAAGGCG
Molecule: ribosomal RNA, 200 nt
Filed under: uncultured bacterium
Lineage: Bacteria
Description: partial 16S ribosomal RNA
Rfam family: Bacterial small subunit ribosomal RNA
Source: RNAcentral